Molecule: long non-coding RNA, 291 nt
Filed under: Actinidia chinensis (golden kiwifruit)
Lineage: Eukaryota; Viridiplantae; Streptophyta; Magnoliopsida; Ericales; Actinidiaceae
Description: long non-coding RNA (ACHI_LNC001197)
Source: RNAcentral
UGAUUACUGCUUUGUCCCCACUCUCACAGCACCUCAUUCAUGGCACUCCCUAACUUCCUCCUCGCCUCCCCCCGCCCCCCAAUCCCCUCCUCUCUCUCUCUCUGUCCUGCUGUAGUCCUUCCUCUCAUAAUCCCCAACCAUUUAUCUGAAAUUUCAGCCUGAACUUUCUUGAACCAUGCCUUCCUUUUCUUUUCCUUGAAUCUCUCUUUUGUCAUUUUUGGUGGCUGUGAGCAAUUGAGCAGAGAUGAGACGAGGCGAGGUUCACAGUCUCCGUAUCAAUCUUUAAUUGUG